CCGCCCGUCACACCAUGGGAGUGGGUUGCUCCAGAAGUAGCUAGUCUAACCGCAAGGGGGACGGUUACCACGGAGUGAUUCAUGACUGGGGUGAAGUCGUAACAAGGUAGCCGUAUCGGAAGGUGCGGCUGGAUCACCUCCUUU
Molecule: non-coding RNA, 144 nt
Filed under: Lysobacter daejeonensis GH1-9
Lineage: Bacteria; Pseudomonadati; Pseudomonadota; Gammaproteobacteria; Lysobacterales; Lysobacteraceae
Description: Bacterial small subunit ribosomal RNA
Rfam family: Bacterial small subunit ribosomal RNA
Source: Rfam by way of RNAcentral